This 21-nucleotide non-coding RNA is filed under the name Caenorhabditis elegans. The record is from RNAcentral. Lineage: Eukaryota; Metazoa; Nematoda; Chromadorea; Rhabditida; Rhabditidae.
UUUUGAUGUUUUUCAAGUUUU